GAUGAACGCUGGCGGCGUGCCUAAUACAUGCAAGUCGAGCGAACGGACGAGAAGCUUGCUUCUCUGAUGUUAGCGGCGGACGGGUGAGUAACACGUGGAUAACCUACCUAUAAGACUGGGAUAACUUCGGGAAACCGGAGCUAAUACCGGAUGAUAUUUUGAACCGCAUGGUUCAAAAGUGAAAGACGGUCUUGCUGUCACUUAUAGAUGGAUCCGCGCUGCAUUAGCUAGUUGGUAAGGUAACGGCUUACCAAGGCAACGAUGCAUAGCCGACCUGAGCGGGGGAGCAGCAACACUGGAAGUGAGACACGGUCCAGACGACUGAGGAAGGGAGCAGUAGGGAAUGUGCCGCAAUGGGCGGAAGCCUGACGGAGCAAAGUCGCGUGAAAGAAGAAGGUCUUCAGGUCGUAAAACCAUGGUAGUAGUGAAAAACAUAUGUGUAAGUAACUGCGCACAUCUUGAGGGUACGUAAUAAGAAAGCCACGGCUAACUACGUC
Molecule: ribosomal RNA, 497 nt
Filed under: uncultured bacterium
Lineage: Bacteria
Description: partial 16S ribosomal RNA
Rfam family: Bacterial small subunit ribosomal RNA
Source: RNAcentral